CGGUUUCCAUCAGGCACGUUUAUUAGAUUUGUUCCGAUGAUCGUGAUAUCGAUUACCAAUACCCUCUUAAAAGCAUUUUUGGCUGAGACUAACGUAUGUAUCCAGACAUUCAGUAAUUGCCCCUGAUGAAGGCUGUAUAUUGUUAGCCGAAACGCGUUGGGCUUUUUACCAGAUCAUUUUAAAAAUACACGCUCCUCAUUAAACUUUUGGUAUUUUCCUACCUACGUUUUUUCUUUUGUCAUUCUGGGGCACACACACCCUCCUCCAUUCCACCACAACCCUAAAAGCACAUGGUGAGUCACAGGAUGCUUUAUUGCAGGGACACAUGGCAUCAUCAACAUCUUCAUCCACAGCUCUAAGCUACCAGGGCAUCCACCAAACAGGAUGCUGGACUAAACUAAGACCGCUGCUCUGAUCCAGACAAGGCUUAUAUCCUUAGUGAAGUCACAGAAGCUCACCCAAGUUAUAACAAAAAGACUAUAGUCAUUUCCAGCAUAGCUAUUUGUAUCCUGCCCUUCUUCCAAGGAUGUUGAGUGCAGAACAAGGGGUUGCCCUAUUGUAUCCUCGUAACACCCUUCCGAUGUUAGCCCACCCAGUGACCUUCAUGGCCGGAGAGGGAUUUGAACUCAAGUCUCCAUUGCCCAAUCCAGUCCAUUACCCUGCACCAGCUUUCUCAUGGGCCCUGGAGAUGAAGCCUGACCAGUUACAGAAUGGAUCCUUCCGAGGAGAACCUUCAGAGGAGCUACAAGUGGUCAGAGGCGGGCAAGGAUGAAAUUUAUCCCUCAUCUGGAGUCACCACUGCUUAAUUUCACAUUCUUUGAUUUAAACUACUCAGCCAGUAAAGCUUCAAGUGCUAGUAGUUUCAAAUGCUAGUUUAACGUGCUCAGGGCCAUAGCACUAAAUGGAAGGAGGGGGAAAAGGUAUCAGUCAACAACAGCCUUCCCCAACCGGCUGCCCUCCAGAUGUUUUAGACAACAUCUCCCAUCAGCCCUAGCUGAUCUGUAUCAACCAACAGCACUGCUUUAACAGUUAGAAUUUACACAGCAAGACCCUCGGCACAUUUAUAAGAAGGAUGUUGUUUUAUUAAGGUAAAAAAAGUGAGCUGAUUUUCAUAUGGCAUUAUCUAACUACAAUCACCUGUCCAGAAUAGAAUAUACACAUUCACACCAAAAGAAACACUUCCACUCCACCGCCACCCAACCUCCCAUGAAGCAGUUCUCCAUCACUGUCCUUUUGCAGGGAUGCCCACGGACAGACUACAGGCCACAUCUUCUCCAUUGCUUCUGAGGGGAGAUUUUGGCACUGCAAAUGCAUGAUAGGUGGCCAAGAAAUGUGUGGGUUAAAUGUGCUGGUUGUGCAGUGAGAGGGUGCAAUUACCAAAAGUGUCCCACUGGAGGGCGACAGCACACAGAGCAGAAGGCAUCUGUGUACUGGGGGGGCAGAGCACGCAAGAGAAUUCCCUUUAAAUGUUCCUCGUACUCCCUCUCUCCAGCUGUACUCAGACUCGGUUUUCCAUUAAAGUGCGGCAUGACUCUGCUCUUACGGUUUUAUGAUGGCCUCUGGAGCCGUCCCAGCAAACGCCUCUUCAGGGGCCACCCUCCCACCUCUUGUGCCAAAUUCCUCACAGGGGCUUCUUCUUCAACCCAAAGACGGAGAUGAAAAGUAAGACCUCAACAGCAGCAGGCAAGGCACUGGUAGGGAGUGAGCACAGACAGAGGAGGACGGGGUCAGUACUGAGGAAAAGGGCUUCCCCCUCUCUGCAGGGGAAGAGGAGCCCCAGCUGUGGAGCAUCUCACAAGUGCACGCACAUGUAAAGCUGUGCGCGCACACACAGGGGGAGCUGCGAGUCUACCUGCAGAAGCCCAUGAUGUACCAGUAAGUAACCGUCUCCCAGCGUUCAAAGACGAAACAGGAGAGGCAGAUGGAGGCGCUGCAGUGGGCAGCCAACGCUAGUGGGAAAGCAGUCAGGGAAACUGUCGCUGGAGAAAGGAUGCCUGGCCAGGAAAGAGCCCCCCAUGGCCCAGCCACUUGCGCUUGCAGAGAGCCAAAAGACCUUCACUGUUGCCUGACAGUUUGAGCUAAGGGGCAUAUUGUGGGGGGAGAGGGAAGAAACCAGUCCCAACACCGGAGAGAUCAGUCCCUCCCUCCCUCCCUGACCAUCUGCUGGAUCAAUUUUUAUUUAGGCUGCAGGGACACCCACUCACCCACCCCCAUCACCAUGGCAAUCCAGAUGUUUAGUCCCUUUGAGGGUUCCUUUUUGGGGACUAAAAAGGCCGGUGUAAAUAUUUCAGUGAAUAAAAUAACAAGGGGUGAGAGAGCCAAGUUCAUAUGGAAAUGGACUGCCUUCAAGGCAAUCCCGACAUACGGCUACUGUAUGAAUAGGGAUUUUUUUUCAUAGUAAACUGUAUUCUGAGGGGGUUUCCCAUUGCCUCCCUCUGAGGCUAGUCCUUCCCAGCUGGCUAGGGCCUGCUCAGCUUGCCACAGCUGCACAAGCCAGCCCCUUCCUUGUCCACAACUGCCAGCUGGGGGGGUAACUGGACUCCUCGGGACUAUGCAGCUUGCCCAGGGCUGCACAGGUGGCAGGGCAUGUAACCCCUGAGCCACUCCCUGUGGGGUGAUCUUUAGCUUUACCCAGGAGACACGAGCGGGGAUGUGAACUCACAGACUCUGGACUCCCAGCCAGGCUCUCCUCCCCACUGUACUAUACCAACUAUCCCACUGUGAUCAUAUGGAGGACACAAAUGCUCUUGUCCCAAGAAGGCAGAAUGAUAUCCCAAGACGUCUUUCUCAGUUUGGAAACCAGCUAUUUUCUCUGGAUGUAUAAGUGCUGGCAAUUCCCAGCCAAUAGAAACCCUGGCUUCCACGUUUCUUCUACUGCUCUCCCCCUCCCCAUGAGACAGGAAAGAGAGCCCCUUGCCUUGCAAAGCUCUGCCUCCAGAGGUCGCCACCAUCACAACUGACCUGCAAAAAGCAAAGAUCCACCAGUACAGGCUGCCGUCCCACUGUUCAAAGAGGAAGAAGAGCAACGCCACCGCGGCAGAGGCGUGUGCACCAAUGGCUGGAGAGGACAGGAUGCUCAGUCAGGGAGCAACAACAACUGAAGGGCCCGGGGGCGGGGGGAGUUGUGAGAUGCCAGGACUGGUCCAUGCUGUGUGGCCUACAGCAGCCCACAACACGUGCGCUGUCCCAUUUGUGGCUGGUGGUCAGCUGCUGAUACAGCCACUGUUUUACAGAUGAGGGGAUGAGACGUAAGUGCUUUGGCAAAGCUGCCAGGAAUGGGCAUCCAGGUGUAAUGAGGAGGCCCCUGGGCCUCACCACCUCCUGGUAGCCACCUGCACACGUGGCAAAUAACAGGGAACUCUAUGACCAGCUCUCCUUUCAGCUCCUUCUGCACACCUGAACAUACAUUCAAAACGUCCUUCAACGCAGGACUUUUGUUUCCAGGUUCAGCUCCUGCACCUUGAAAGCCAUUUGAUGAGUCCAUCCAAACUGCCCUCUGCGUGGCUUCUCCCCCACACUCCAAAUAACCUACACUGGGCCUUUGACUAUCCCUCUUUCGUUUUCAAAGGAUACAAAGGAGGCUUUGCGCAUUGUUGAACAUGGACACUCCAGAGAGGAAGCCAGCCAACUCCACCGCAAACAGGCCGAGGGUUACCGACAGAGCAACCACCAUCCUAGGGAGGGAAAGUCACAGGAAGAGUCACAUCUAAUGCCUUUGCAAUCUGAAAUUCCUUCCCGACCCCAAUUACAGUAACCAGUCUCUCUCUCUCAC
This is a long non-coding RNA of Rhineura floridana, 3772 nucleotides long. RefSeq lists it as uncharacterized. The record is from RefSeq and is a predicted model, not a curated record. The transcript has 3 exons. Lineage: Eukaryota; Metazoa; Chordata; Lepidosauria; Squamata; Rhineuridae.